UGGAGCUUCAAUCUGUCCAGAUUUAUUAGCUUUGGAAACAAACUCUGGGAGCCAUGCAACAGAUAACCAACCGGUCCCCUGGGCCGGGCCCUUCAUUUGAAGCAAGCAGCUGUAGCAGUGCCACGCUGCUGUAUGUCCAGUCUGAACAGCUUUAUUACUUUUUAAUCAACUCUUCCUACCGGCUACCUCUGCUCACUGCUCUAAAGGCGGAAGGUGAGAGAAAACAAGACGAGGACAUCAAUUUCAGAGCAUUCAGAAACCAAGGAAUCACUUCAUUCCAAUAAAAAGGACUUUUGGAAGG
Long non-coding RNA from Etheostoma spectabile (orangethroat darter), 301 nucleotides. RefSeq lists it as uncharacterized. The record is from RefSeq and is a predicted model, not a curated record. The transcript has 2 exons. NCBI's taxonomy places the organism in Eukaryota, Metazoa, Chordata, Actinopteri, Perciformes, Percidae.